UACAGAGGUCCCAAGCGUUGUUUGGAUUCACUGGGCGUAAAGGGUGCGUAGGCGGUCGGGUAAGUCUGAUGUGAAAUCUCACAGCUUAACUGUGAAACUGCAUUGGAUACUAUCCGGCUCGAGGAAUGGAGGGGAGACUGGAAUACUUGGUGUAGCAGUGAAAUGCGUAGAUAUCAAGUGGAACACCAGUGGCGAAGGCGAGUCUCUGGACAUUUCCUGACGCUGAGGCACGAAAGCCAGGGGAGCAAACGGG
Molecule: ribosomal RNA, 253 nt
Filed under: uncultured bacterium
Lineage: Bacteria
Description: partial 16S ribosomal RNA
Rfam family: Bacterial small subunit ribosomal RNA
Source: RNAcentral